Molecule: long non-coding RNA, 1189 nt
Organism: Oncorhynchus tshawytscha (Chinook salmon)
Lineage: Eukaryota; Metazoa; Chordata; Actinopteri; Salmoniformes; Salmonidae
Source: Ensembl
CUGGCAAGCUUUUUUCUUCUUUGUAAUACGUUUUUGGAAGCUAUUGUCCAAGUCAUUGUUAUUAAGAGUUUGUAACUAUAAUGUUUUAGUCUGAUGCUAGCUAUGAAAAUCGAUUUGGUAAAGUUAUUUUCCAUACAGUCGGUAUAGAGCCAUAGCUAGCUAACGCACUUUUGUACAUCGCGGUUUAGCUCUCAAAAAAACGUAAUACUUCUAGGUCAACUGUAAUAUGAUAACCAUUGUAAAGCACAAUUUCUCUCCUUUCCAGAAAAAUCAGCGAUGAGGCCUUCUUGCUGCCGGUCUCUGCAUGAUUGAAGAAGGCAAUGAGCUCCAUCGGGUCUUUUUAAAAAUGGCGGAUGGGGAGACAAGCCGUGUGGGCUGCAAUCCACUCCCAGUUAGACGGGGUCUGUUCAGGCCUCUGUCAGCUCCACAAUGCCCUGGGGGACAUGAAGGACAUCCAGAACUCUGGCAGAAGUCAGCAAUGACUGGAGGCAAGGCAUCAACACCAUUGAACGUGCAGUAUGUAAAAUAUGCUGGGAUGCAACACAGUCAGCUAACCUCAGCCAUGGAGAACUUGGAAGAAUAUAUUUUCAGGUAUGUUCAGCUGCACCCAUUACAUGCCAUUUGGUUGGGAACUAUUAUUGUUGGCUUGCAUUGCAUUUGAUGUGAGACUGUACUGCUACAUUGUAUUAGUGUAUUGUCCCUCAACUGGGUCCUCAAUUAAUACUUACAAAAGUAUGUCUGUACUGCUCUCGGUGACUCAUGUAUAGGGCCCUGUGUUUUGGUUAACAGUUUCACUAAGCAGCUACCCUCAUACAACUUGUUUGAAGGUGAAAUCACAGUAGGAGAAAACCUAAGAUUUUAGUUACAGCAGCACACUGACAUUAUAAAAGGCAAGAGGUUGAAUGGGCCAACAUGAAGGGUGACUACCUCAUGAAGCUGGUUGAGAGAAUGCCAAGAGUGUGCAAAGCUGUCAAGGCAAAGGGUGACUACUUUGAAGAAUCUCAACUAUCAAAUAUAUUUUGAUUUGUUUAACACUUUUUUUGUUUACUUCAUGAUUCCAUAUGUGUUAUUUCAUAGUUUUGAUGUCUUCACUAUUAUUCUACAAUGUUAAAAAUAGUCAAAAUAAAGAAAAACCCAUGAAUGAGUAGGUGUGUCCAAACUGGUACUGUAACUCCAAAUAAAACAUUUG